CAGGACUCCUGCCAUGAGAAAAAGAAUUAGGGAAAAUUAUUGUAUUCUCUGCUGAAACAAGAAUAAAGGGAAAAAAAACCUGCACACUCCCACUUCUGCUGCUUGGUGACAGAAAGGAAGAUGUCCUGCCUGCCUGCUAGAUCUGCUCAUAGGCAUCACUAACAGCUGGAUCUUGAUUUAUGAGCAACAAGGUCAACUGCCAACUAGAUCUCACUGAACUCAGCAAUCAGAAGUGAACCAUCAACAUCUGCCUUUCCCAGAAGCAAAAUCCUGUACACUUCUAAAUUCAGGGGAUCUGGACAGCCUCUCCAGCACUGAACAACAUUUCUUGCAGGAAACCCAGUAUUUGCCAUAUUGGGUUUAGUUGCAGUUCACUUCUGCUUCCACCCAAGGUUUUUCUUAGUACGGAAUUUGAAGCAAGGAUCGGUGUGCGCAGCUUGUUCUGUAGUUUCUCCUGCCCUCUGCUGGAUGCAAUGUUACAGCAACUCCAGGAGUUUCCCAUCUCCGUAAUGUCUGCGAUUGGUCGACGUGAAGAACUUAACCCCCUCUUCCUCCCUCUCAAGCAAGCAACUACUAC
Molecule: long non-coding RNA, 577 nt
Filed under: Phasianus colchicus (ring-necked pheasant)
Lineage: Eukaryota; Metazoa; Chordata; Aves; Galliformes; Phasianidae
Description: lncRNA (ENSPCLG00000011299.1)
Source: RNAcentral